Molecule: ribosomal RNA, 250 nt
Filed under: uncultured bacterium
Lineage: Bacteria
Description: partial 16S ribosomal RNA
Rfam family: Bacterial small subunit ribosomal RNA
Source: RNAcentral
UACGGAGGGUGCAAGCGUUAAUCGGAAUGACUGGGCGUAAAGCGCACGCAGGCGGUCUGUCAAGUCGGAUGUGAAAUCCCCGGGCUCAACCCGGGAACUGCAUUCGAAACUGGCAGGCUGGAGUCUCGUAGAGGGAGGUAGAAUUCCAGGUGUAGCGGUGAAAUGCGUAGAGAUCUGGAGGAAUACCGGUGGCGAAGGCGGCUGUCUGGUCUGUAACUGACGUUGAGGCUCGAAAGUGUGGGUAGCAAAC